This 514-nucleotide ribosomal RNA is filed under the name uncultured bacterium. RNAcentral's name for it is "bacterial SSU rRNA". It matches the Rfam family "Bacterial small subunit ribosomal RNA", at positions 32 to 518 of the family's 1533-position model. The record is from RNAcentral.
AACGCUGGCGGCGUGCCUAAUACAUGCAAGUCGAACGGUCUUUUCUAUGGAAGCUUGCUUCCACUGAAAAGAUAGUGGCGAACGGGUGAGUAACACGUGGGUAACCCUGCCCAUAAGAGGGGGAUAACAUCCGGAAACGGGUGCUAAUACCGCAUAGUUUUCUUGAUCGCAUGAUCGGGAAAGGAAAGACGGCCUUUGUGCUGUCGCUUAUGGAUGGACCCGCGGCGUAUUAGUUAGUUGGUGAGGUAACGGCUCACCAAGACGAUGAUACGUAGCCGACCUGAGAGGUGAUCGGCCACAUUGGGACUGAGACACGGCCCAAACUCCUACGGGAGGCAGCAGUAGGGAAUCUUCCGCAAUGGACGAAAGUCUGACGGAGCAACGCCGCGUGAGUGAAGAAAGGUUUUCGGAUCGUAAAACUCUGUUGUCAGAGAAGAACAAGUUGGAGAGUAACUGCUCCAGCCUUGACGGUAUCUGACCAGAAAGCCACGGCUAACUACGUGCCAGCCGCUGC